CUUGGUCAUUUAGAGGAAGUAAAAGUCGUAACAAGGUUUCCGUAGGUGAACCUGCGGAAGGAUCAUUAAAGAGUUAGGGUCUUCCAGGCCCGACCUCCCAACCCUAUGUUUACUCAAACCACCGUUGCUUCGGCGGGUCCGUCUCAGACCGCCGGGGGACUGUCAUAGGUCCUCUGGCCCGCACCCGCCGGUGGCCAAUCUUCAUAAACUCGUGAAUAAAACGUGUCCUUGUCUGAGUAUAUGAAAUAAAUUAAAGCAAAAAACUUUCAACAACGGAUCUCUUGGUUCUGGCAUCGAUGAAGAACGCAGCGAAAUGCGAUAAGUAAUGCGAAUUGCAGAAUUCCAGUGAGUCAUCGAAUCUUUGAACGCACAUUGCGCCCUUUGGCAUUCCGAAGGGCAUGCCUGUUCGAGCGUCAUUAUCACCCUUCAAGCCCUCGGGUUUGGUGUUGGACCACGGUUGUACCAGCCGGCGCGACCGGUCCCAAAGUGAAUGACGGUGUCCGCGGGACCCCUCGGUGCAAUGAGCUCUCUCGUAGCACGCACCGCAGUGGCCCGGGGGCGCGUUCCUCAACCACACUUUUUCUCAGGUUGACCUCGGAUUAGGUAGGGAUACCCGCUGAACUUAAGCAUAUCAAUAAGCGGAGGA
RNAcentral lists this ribosomal RNA (646 nucleotides) under uncultured fungus. RNAcentral's name for it is "eukaryotic LSU rRNA". The stretch from base 262 to 416 matches the Rfam family "5.8S ribosomal RNA". The record is from RNAcentral. Lineage: Eukaryota; Fungi.